UCUAAUUGUAUCAUUUUAUUUCAGGGACCUCCGCAGUCGGUCUCCUCUCCUUAUCCCACUCCCAGACCUCAGGGAAGGAAAUGGGCUUGCCUGAGAAGAUCCGUGCUUGAUUACCUGGGGAGGUAUGCAGCCCCUAAGGGAGAUUUGAAAAGCACCUCCCCUUCUGAGGAGGCCAUUCUGGUCUGGAGCCAGUUGCAACGGGUGUACCUAGCGGUGGCCACAUUUUUAUCCUGGCAAGUGGAUCUCUUACAAAGAUUCCCCCCAUCCUUCAGGAAACUGCACAUGUACCUGUGCAAACUACACAAGAAUGUGGGACCCCUGUGCUGCUCCCAAGGGAAAGGUUCUGUCUGGGUGUGGGAUGGAUCUAAACAAGCAAUACCCAUAUGCUGUCUGUGGUCUAAGGGGCGCGGGGGGGGGGGGGGGGGGGGCAGAAGGAAUGGCUGUCCUGUGGAGCGGCUGAAGAGAGAGAUGGAUCAGAAAGUGAAGUGAGGCAGAAGCCAGAGACCAGGAGAAGACAGCAAGAGAUCCUAGAGCAGGCAGUCUGUAACCUCCU
RNAcentral lists this long non-coding RNA (553 nucleotides) under Mus caroli (Ryukyu mouse). RNAcentral describes it as "lncRNA (MGP_CAROLIEiJ_G0004240.1)". Lineage: Eukaryota; Metazoa; Chordata; Mammalia; Rodentia; Muridae. The record is from RNAcentral.